CGCGGGGCUCCGGGCGCGCUCCCCGCACUACUCCAGUGCCAUGGUGCGCCCAAGGAGCCUCUCGGUUUAGAGCUGGGGUUGGUGGCGGAGGGAUACUCCGGCCGGGAGCCGCUUCACCCCUCCUCAAACUUCCUGACAUUUGAACUCAUUGGUGCGCCUCGUAUCACUGCGCCGGGAUGAGCCGGCUGCUCCACGUCAAAUAGUGCCGUCGCCGCCCCCCCCUCCCCGCGGGAGGGAUCCCCGAGCCCCCGGCCUGCACCCCGCACCGCGCCCCGGCCCCAGCCAGCCAUUCUGCCCAUCCUUAGCAGAAGUUUGGGUAGCCAUCGAAACAAACCCUGCGCCCCACCCCUCUUGAAAAAUUGAUUUGGGAGUUUGGGAAAUCAGGCUUUCUUUUUUUUUCUUUCUUGCCUUUUUUAUUAUUAAUAUUUUUGUAAAAAAAAAAAAAGCUCCAGCUCUGAGAGGAGUGGCCCCGAGUGAGGCCAGACUGUCCGGACGGCGGGGAGCGCAGAGACUCUUCCAGGGGACUGCGCCAGGCGGGAACAGCUGCACCGAAACCCAGACUUGUCGGCGAAGCUUCAAGAGAAACCCAGGAGCGAUGGGGGAAGGAAUGGACAGGAAGCUGUCAUCCAUCCUGGGACGUGGUCCUAAGUGCGGGCACUUGAGUGCCUAGCCUUGUUCCAGAUCCCACCCUGGGCACUCAGGCUCAGAGGCAGGGUCCUGUUCUCACAGAGAUGACAUAACCGACUGAGUGGAAAAUCAAUGUAACCCACCAGGAGACUUACAGAGGUGAGGAUCCAGGCCUAGCAUGCCCAUCGGUGAGCUCGAAGCUUGGGAAAUGCACAGGGGAACCAGGAGCUCAAGGUCAUCCUCUGCUACACAAUGAAUUCAAGGCCAGCAUGGGCUAAAUAAGACACUGUCUCAAACCAACACGCCAAACAAGCAAGCUAAUUGUUAACUUUAGUAAAACUGCAAAACUGAAGGGUGAAAUAAGAAAACCAGUUGAGGGCUGGAGAGAUGGCUCAGAGGUUAAGAGCACUGGCUGCUCUUCCAGAGGUCCUGAGUUCAAUUCCCAGCAACCACAUGGUGGCUCACAACCAUCCAUAAUGAGAUCUGGCG
This is a long non-coding RNA of Mesocricetus auratus (golden hamster), 1116 nucleotides long. RefSeq lists it as uncharacterized. Lineage: Eukaryota; Metazoa; Chordata; Mammalia; Rodentia; Cricetidae. The record is from RefSeq and is a predicted model, not a curated record. The transcript has 4 exons.